AUGCAAUUUGGAUAUUUUUUCGAAUUAGAGUACACAAAAUUGGCCAGCGUUUUGUUAUUUUUUCUUUCCGCCGUAUUCACGAUUUCAUUGUGUUCAAAAAAGAAAAAAAGGUCAAAGGAAACUCUAAGCAGAUCGCCGGCAACUAGCCCUGUACUAUCGCAAAAAUCGAAUUUGGAACGAAAUCUUUCAUUAUCACCAGCGAAAUCACCAUGUUCUCAGAGUCCACCUGACCACGAAAAAAACUCCUUCUCCUAAAUCGCCAAAAGAAAAGACCGAUGAGGAUAAAGUGCUUAGAUCAUCAAGAGAAAAGAUCGAAAGAGAACUUCAAGUUAUGUCAACCCAGCCUUCUCAUCCGUCCUCUUCAAAUGAUCUUGAUUCUUCAAUUGGAACUGCUAGAAUUGAAGUGGUUUCGGUUCCCGUCAAGCCGAGAAACAAAUUUUCAACCACGCCGGUUAAGCGUGUUGAAAUGAAGAAGAGCAAAGAGUCAGAUUCAGUCGAUAAAGCUCUGAAAGUGAAGUCUAGCCUGGAUUGCAUGAAAUUGGAAAAACCUGCACCGACUACUUGUGAAAUGAAGGCUGCAUGA
Molecule: RNA transcript, 583 nt
Organism: Caenorhabditis elegans
Lineage: Eukaryota; Metazoa; Nematoda; Chromadorea; Rhabditida; Rhabditidae
Gene: K10D6.3
Gene name: Non-coding transcript of protein-coding gene K10D6.3b
Exons: 4
Source: RefSeq, marked reviewed